CUAGACGAACUGCCGUUGACAAACGGAGGAAGGUGGGGAUGACGUCAAAUCAUCAUGCCCCUUAUGUUCUGGGCUACACACGUGCUACAAUGGCCGGUACAGACGGACGCAAAGCCGCGAGGUGGAGCAAAUCCUAAAAAGCCGGUACUCAGUUCGGAUUGCAGGCUGCAAUUCGCCUGCAUGAAGUCGGAAUCGCUAGUAAUCGCAGGUCAGCAUACUGCGGUGAAUACGUUCCCGGGCCUU
This 243-nucleotide ribosomal RNA is filed under the name uncultured Bacillus sp. RNAcentral describes it as "partial 16S ribosomal RNA". It matches the Rfam family "Bacterial small subunit ribosomal RNA", at positions 1140 to 1382 of the family's 1533-position model. The record is from RNAcentral. Lineage: Bacteria; Bacillati; Bacillota; Bacilli; Caryophanales; Bacillaceae.